CACCUCUCCUCCACAUCUCUGCCAUCACCCACGCAGCUCCUCUCAGCGCCGCCUCGGGUCCCCAUGACAACCCCUCCCAAGGGAAUGCUUCACCCCACCAUCAUGCUGCUUCUCCCUCAGUCUGACAAAUUUAAUUUGUGAAUCCUUUGGGCAAGGGCUAUAAUCUGAAUUCCAUGUUUUCUAUACUGACAGCCGGAUGCAAGCUGGCCAUACCAGAGAGACGAACCACAUGAUUUGAGUCACAUGGUAUCAGUUGUCUGAGUUCAACCAUAUAAGCAAGAAAUCAGUCAAUUAUGCCUGUGGAAUAAAACUCCAUUAAAACUCUGGACACAAAAGCUCAGCUGAUCUUCCCUGGUAAUACUCCCGGCAUAUUGACAAACAUCAGUGCUGGGAGGUUAGUGGGUCAUUACUCCAUGGGAGAGUACAAAAAAAGCUUUGUGUUUGGAGCUCUCCCAAACU
Lagenorhynchus albirostris (white-beaked dolphin) is the source of this 459-nucleotide long non-coding RNA. RefSeq lists it as uncharacterized. Lineage: Eukaryota; Metazoa; Chordata; Mammalia; Artiodactyla; Delphinidae. The record is from RefSeq and is a predicted model, not a curated record. The transcript is spliced from 3 exons.